AUGAAGAGAGCUUCCGUUUCUUCUUCCAUGGCAUCAGCCAUGGCAAUCCUAGUUAUCUUAUUCAUAUGCUACUCCCUGCCAUGCUCAGCCGCCGACCAAGCUCAUGCGGAAGGAAACCAUCGUGGAGGGAGUCCUCCGGCGCCGCGCGCAGCGCCGGGCACACAUAAUCGAGGCCGUGGACACUCCAGCACCGCACCGCCAGUGCCGCACCGCAAGAACUUACAGCUACAACAGGCUGUUUUCAAGUGGCACCGAUGCCAUAAAUUAUCUUGCACAAGUCUUGCAAACUUCGUCACUUUUAAUUUUUGCCAGUGCUCUGUGGUGCCAGUGCCACUGAUAUGUUCCUAG
This 348-nucleotide ribosomal RNA is filed under the name Triticum aestivum (bread wheat). RNAcentral describes it as "partial small subunit ribosomal RNA". Lineage: Eukaryota; Viridiplantae; Streptophyta; Magnoliopsida; Poales; Poaceae. The record is from RNAcentral.